Molecule: long non-coding RNA, 1630 nt
Organism: Homo sapiens (human)
Lineage: Eukaryota; Metazoa; Chordata; Mammalia; Primates; Hominidae
Source: Ensembl
AUUUUCGAGUGAUGCCUGAUCUCAUCAAUCUAGCGGGAGAGACAGGAUAACCUGUCCGAGAGUAUAGCGCCACUAUGACUCCGCCGGAAAAAUUACUUUAAAAAUCGCCAAAAAUUACUUGGAGCAAAGGGCAGUCGGCGGAGCUUCGCCAAGGCUGGCGCAGUCGUGUAUAAAGCCAAAUGUCCCAUUUAAAGUUUGACAUUUGCAAUAGCAUUCUAUUUAAAAGGUUUAAUAAUGAUAGAAUGAAGACCACAAUAAAAGAGACCUCUACUUAGCUCAGCAAUUCUUACCUUUCUUACCUAUUUGAUGAAGAUGUCUUUUGAAAGGUGUACUGCAAGGAACAAAAUGUUUGUAAAUUCUCCUUUUACCAAGGUGGAUAAUUACUGUACCUUCCUCAUGGAAAAAGUUUUAUUUAAAGUGUUAUUUCUCAUUGAAUACUAUCAAAAAGGAAAAAAAAAUGACCUAAACUUUUGAGAUAGAUUUGGCUCUAGUAAGUAUUUAGUUAUAUCACUUGCAUAUCUGGGAGAAGAAAUAAGAGACUAUCAUCAGUACAUUCCCAUCUACUAAAAAAAUUUAUUUUACACAUGUCAAGGGAUUACUUAUAACUUCCAUUUUAUUACUAAUAGCUUGAACCCUUUUAAUGAAGACCUAACUCCUCCACCAGAAAUUUAAGUUUAUGUUCUUACUUUGUUUACUUAUAAAAUACAUCUCAGGUAUUUCGGAUGUCUUUUUUUUUUCUAAGCCUAUAUGAAAUGAAAAAUAUAUUGGCAAAAUAAAUGUUUAAACCUUUUACGUUAAAAUUACUUUGAAAGAUGAAAAGUUAGUGCUGUUUUUGUCUACGUUAUACUGAAAUUAAAUGUUUAUAAUUUAUAUUUUGGGUUUAUGUAUAAAUCAUGGAAUUUAUGCAAAAAUAUGAGUAGUACAGAUUCUCCUCUAAUUCUGUAGGACUUUGAAUAAUGUGAUAUUUUUCUUAUAAUUGGACCCUUGUGUUUUGAAGAAAUGCCAACUGCUUGAAGAAUCUCCUUGUUAUUUGUAUUAUUUGCUAUAGGGUUAGAUGUUGAGAAAUUCUGCUGACAAAAAAUUUUAAGCCAGUUUUACACUAAAUGUUCCUCAGUCUGAUUAAUUUGUUAUUGGAUGUAUUCUGUAUCUUUCUUUUGUAAUUUGUAACUUUUAUCCACUUAGCACGAAUGAUUCUAUUAAAGAAAAUCAUUAGGAAGUGGUAGAAACUUUAAAUCGCCCCAGAGUUUGCCUGUUUCCAUAUUUUAUUAUCUUAUAAUCUUCGGGAGUGCUUACACUUAUGGAGCUAACAUUUUCAGAGAUACAGCUUCUUAUAGUAACACUAAAACUUUCUUCCUCUUUGGACUGAAUACCUAUAAUUAUAACUAUAUGGUAGUUUAAGUUUCCUUGUGAUUAGUCAAAAAUACCAUUUUAGUAUGAAGCAAUGAAGUCUAUUAUUUGUUGUCCCAUAAUUGAGAAAGCUUAAAUACACCUUUUAUUAAGAGUUUGUAAAUUCUAGCUUAGUCUACACAGAUUUUUAUAUCAAUUUGUUUAUAUUUUUAUUAAUGUCAUUUCUGGAAGUGUGAAAAUGUUAAUGUUCAACAAGCAACAUUAAAAAUAGAUUUGAAACAUU